AGCGAACGCUGGCGGCAGGCCUAACACAUGCAAGUCGAGCGGACCCUUCGGGGUUAGUGGCGGACGGGUGAGUAACACGUGGGAACGUGCCUUUAGGUUCGGAAUAGCUCCUGGAAACGGGUGGUAAUGCCGAAUGUGCCCUUCGGGGGAAAGAUUUAUCGCCUUUAGAGCGGCCCGCGUCUGAUUAGCUAGUUGGUAAGGUAAAAGCUUACCAAGGCGACGAUCAGUAGCUGGUCUGAGAGGAUGACCAGCCACAUUGGGACUGAGACACGGCCCAAACUCCUACGGGAGGCAGCAGUGGGGAAUCUUGCGCAAUGGGCGAAAGCCUGACGCAGCCAUGCCGCGUGAAUGAUGAAGGUCUUAGGAUUGUAAAAUUCUUU
Molecule: ribosomal RNA, 380 nt
Filed under: uncultured bacterium
Lineage: Bacteria
Description: bacterial SSU rRNA
Rfam family: Bacterial small subunit ribosomal RNA
Source: RNAcentral